This 301-nucleotide ribosomal RNA is filed under the name uncultured bacterium. RNAcentral describes it as "partial 16S ribosomal RNA". It matches the Rfam family "Bacterial small subunit ribosomal RNA", at positions 509 to 807 of the family's 1533-position model. The record is from RNAcentral.
CAGUCGCCACGGUAAUACGAAGGGUGCAAGCGUUACUCGGAAUUACUGGGCGUAAAGCGUGCGCAGGCGGUUGUGUAAGACAGGUGUGAAAUCCCCGGGCUUAACCUGGGAACUGCGCUUGUGACUGCACAGCUAGAGUAUGGCAGAGGGGGGUGGAAUUCCACGUGUAGCAGUAAAAUGCGUAGAGAUGUGGAGGAACACCGAUGGCGAAGGCAGCCCCCUGGGCCAAUACUGACGCUCAUGCACGAGAGCGUGGGGAGCAAACAGGAUUAGAUACCCCUGUAGUCCCUGUCUCUUAUAC